UGUAAGUAACUAUGCACGUCUUGACGGUACCUAAUCAGAAAGCCACGGCUAACUACGUGCCAGCAGCCGCGGUAAUACGUAGGUGGCAAGCGUUAUCCGGAAUUAUUGGGCGUAAAGCGCGCGUAGGCGGUUUUUUAAGUCUGAUGUGAAAGCCCACGGCUCAACCGUGGAGGGUCAUUGGAAACUGGAAAACUUGAGUGCAGAAGAGGAAAGUGGAAUUCCAUGUGUAGCGGUGAAAUGCGCAGAGAUAUGGAGGAACACCAGUGGCGAAGGCGACUUUCUGGUCUGUAACUGACGCUGAUGUGCGAAAGCGUGGGGAUCAAACAGGAUUAGAUACCCUGGUAGUCCACGCCGUAAACGAUGAGUGCUAAGUGUUAGGGGGUUUCCGCCCCUUAGUGCUGCAGCUAACGCAUUAAGCACUCCGCCUGGGGAGUACGACCGCAAGGUUGAAACUCAAAGGAAUUGACGGGGACCCG
This 476-nucleotide ribosomal RNA is filed under the name Staphylococcus haemolyticus. RNAcentral describes it as "bacterial SSU rRNA". It matches the Rfam family "Bacterial small subunit ribosomal RNA", at positions 450 to 923 of the family's 1533-position model. Lineage: Bacteria; Bacillati; Bacillota; Bacilli; Caryophanales; Staphylococcaceae. The record is from RNAcentral.